GUUAGAUGUAUGGUAUGCUGCAGGUGAAGUUCUCUGAUUCAGUACAACUACAUCUGAAACAAAACAACAUGACCUGAACAGCACUGAGAACACACAAUAUUUAUGAAGGCAUGGAAGAGGGAUGACUCCUCAUCUCAAAUUCUACCAACAGCAGAAGUAAGACAUCUGUAAUCCAUGGUUCUCACAAGAUGUGUGGAUUUCAGGGAUUUGCCACAGGCCUGUGUGGGAGAGAAUCUGAAGAAGCUCAGCCAGUUCCUCCACCCUGCCACCUCCAGAAGUAGACUUCAAACCCUGCAAAUCUCGAGAAUUCCUCCUUUCAAUUUAUUUUCAUGCUCAAAUAAAUUGGUUAGUCUCUAAGGUGCCACAAGUACUCCUUUUCCUUUCAGAGAGUGCAGAUUCCUCUCUGUGCAUGGACCCAGAGGGGAACAUGGGGCUUUGAGGAGGAUUUUUGAGGAGGGUGUUUCAAAGGUACAAAUUGUGAAUAUGAAAUUGGCCUUCAAUGCAUUUGGCAGGAUACACAGUAGAAUGACAAGCACAUGACACAAUUUACUUUGAAGUAGGCUUCAGAAAUACCCAAUGCUUUAAAAGAUGGGAAAAAUUAGAACGUCUCUUUAAAAAUACUUUAAUCAGCCCUUUAAAAGUAAUCUGUGUCCCUUUAGCAUUUUUGCACAGCAAGUCAUAGAACACAUAGCCUUGUAUUGGGAUCUUAAAGCAUUCCAACAGUGAAAUGCAAAUCCAGUGAUAUUACAGCUAAUCCAAAUGCCUUUAUCAAUAUAAAGAAUCCAAUUAUGACAUCCUUAAAUGUGUUAGAAAUUUAAAGGCAAACUAAUGCUGCAUGCAGACCACUUCUUAAAUUUCCAUUUGUAAUCACAAAUAUGUUUGCUAUUAUAUCCACUCAUCAUAAAGGCCAAGUAUUUAAAAAAUUGCUACAAACACACUGAAGACUACAGUAUUUCUUAAGUAAUAUGUGCAACCGCACAAUAUAGAUGUUUCACUGGAAAUGGUACAUAAUAAAUGAUAGCAUAUUUAUCUGGUUUUGUUUGUCCUUUGAAAACACGUUUUCUUUUGACUAAAGAAGAUGGAUAGUCAGAAUAAGAUAUUGGAUAACUAAGCUUGGAUAUCAUAGGACAAGGAAUAUUUGACAUCUUAGUGGUAAUUUUUAAUCAGAAGACCUGUUCAAAAAAGAAAUGAAUACAUAAUAAAAUGAUUCCACAAGAGAAAAAUGCAUGUCUUCAGUUUCACCCAUAACAUUA
Long non-coding RNA from Caretta caretta (loggerhead turtle), 1253 nucleotides. RefSeq lists it as uncharacterized. Lineage: Eukaryota; Metazoa; Chordata; Testudines; Cheloniidae. The record is from RefSeq and is a predicted model, not a curated record.